Molecule: ribosomal RNA, 901 nt
Filed under: uncultured bacterium
Lineage: Bacteria
Description: bacterial SSU rRNA
Rfam family: Bacterial small subunit ribosomal RNA
Source: RNAcentral
GUUUCAGCCGCCGCGGUAAUACGUAGGGUGCGAGCGUUAUCCGGAAUUAUUGGGCGUAAAGAGCUCGUAGGCGGUUUGUCGCGUCUGUCGUGAAAGUCCGGGGCUUAACCCCGGAUCUGCGGUGGGUACGGGCAGACUAGAGUGCAGUAGGGGAGACUGGAAUUCCUGGUGUAGCGGUGGAAUGCGCAGAUAUCAGGAGGAACACCGAUGGCGAAGGCAGGUCUCUGGGCUGUAACUGACGCUGAGGAGCGAAAGCAUGGGGAGCGAACAGGAUUAGAUACCCUGGUAGUCCAUGCCGUAAACGUUGGGCACUAGGUGUGGGGACCAUUCCACGGUUUCCGCGCCGCAGCUAACGCAUUAAGUGCCCCGCCUGGGGAGUACGGCCGCAAGGCUAAAACUCAAAGGAAUUGACGGGGGCCCGCACAAGCGGCGGAGCAUGCGGAUUAAUUCGAUGCAACGCGAAGAACCUUACCAAGGCUUGACAUGUUCUCGAUCGCCGUAGAGAUACGGUUUCCCCUUUGGGGCGGGUUCACAGGUGGUGCAUGGUUGUCGUCAGCUCGUGUCGUGAGAUGUUGGGUUAAGUCCCGCAACGAGCGCAACCCUCGUUCCAUGUUGCCAGCACGUCGUGGUGGGGACUCAUGGGAGACUGCCGGGGUCAACUCGGAGGAAGGUGAGGACGACGUCAAAUCAUCAUGCCCCUUAUGUCUUGGGCUUCACGCAUGCUACAAUGGCCGGUACAAUGGGUUGCGAUACUGUGAGGUGGAGCUAAUCCCAAAAAGCCGGUCUCAGUUCGGAUUGGGGUCUGCAACUCGACCCCAUGAAGUCGGAGUCGCUAGUAAUCGCAGAUCAGCAACGCCGCGGUGAAUACGUUCCCGGGCUUUGUACACACCGCCCGUCAAAC